CCUUGAAAGAAAGCGUAAUAGCUCACUGGUCAAGUGAAUCUGCGCCGAAAAUACAACGGGGCUUAAACUGUCUACCGAAGCUGCGGAUUCUGCACUUAAGUGCAGAGUGGUAGGGGAGCAUUCCAAUCGCCGUUGAAGGUGCACCGCGAGGAGCGCUGGAGGUUUUGGAAGAGCGUAUGCUGACGUGAGUAACGACAAGACGGGUGAGAAUCCCGUCCGCCGAAAGCCUAAGGAUUCCUGGGCCAGGUUCAUCCUCCCAGGGUUAGUCGGGACCUAAGACGAGGCCGAGAGGCGUAGUCGAUGGAAAACAGGCAAACAUUCCUGUACCUCUUUGUAACAUGUUGAUGGUGAGGAAGGACGGAGAACGCUAGGUCCGCCGGACUGAUGGAUGUCCGGUACAACCCGGUAGGCGGGUCAGAUAGGAGGUGUUCGCACCACAAACG
Molecule: ribosomal RNA, 443 nt
Rfam family: Bacterial large subunit ribosomal RNA